RNAcentral lists this unclassified non-coding RNA (570 nucleotides) under Melitaea cinxia (Glanville fritillary). Its description in RNAcentral is "misc RNA ENSMCXG00005021745.1". Lineage: Eukaryota; Metazoa; Arthropoda; Insecta; Lepidoptera; Nymphalidae. The record is from RNAcentral.
UCUCUCCGUAAGAACCAUCCUCGUACUUCAAGGAAUAUUUUAAAAAAAAAUUUAGCGAAAUCGGUCCAACCGUUCUCGAGUUUUGCGCUUAGCAACACAUUCAGCGACUCAUUUUUAUAUUAUAGAUUUAGUUUAUAUAGCGUGAUAUUAAUACAUGUAUAACAUAGUACUCUUGUUACUUUCUUAUUUAAAAAAAUGGAAAUGUAAUCUACUUAUUAACAUUUUUAAGCAGUAAUUAAUUUUCCUCUAAUUUCCCCAGAGGUUUAUCAAACAAAGAGACCUGGAGAAAACGUUUACUUAGAGACAUCUGAAACUCCUUAUGUAGUUCUUGAAACAGAAAGCCCCCCGAAGGAACCAAAACUCUCACAACAGGAACGAGAGUUAGCGCGAACACUAAUCGGUAGAUUUCGUCGAUCAAGAAACAAUACUUCUAUAAAGACACCAUUUUUAAGACCACUAAAUGCAACGGAGCCGGCUUUACUAAAAAGCGCGUCUAAACUGCUUCAUUUUUAGUAUUAUUUUUUGUAUAAUUAUUAUAUUACCGUUUAAAUAAACUAUUAAAACAUUUUA